Molecule: ribosomal RNA, 500 nt
Filed under: uncultured bacterium
Lineage: Bacteria
Description: partial 16S ribosomal RNA
Rfam family: Bacterial small subunit ribosomal RNA
Source: RNAcentral
AUUGAACGCUGGCGGCAGGCCUAACACAUGCAAGUCGAGCGGAUGAAGGGAGCUUGCUCCUGGAUUCAGCGGCGGACGGGUGAGUAAUGCCUAGGAAUCUGCCUGGUAGUGGGGGACAACGUUUCGAAAGGAACGCUAAUACCGCAUACGUCCUACGGGAGAAAGCAGGGGACCUUCGGGCCUUGCGCUAUCAGAUGAGCCUAGGUCGGAUUAGCUAGUUGGUGAGGUAAUGGCUCACCAGGGCGACGAUCCGUAACUGGUCUGAGAGGAUGAUCAGUCACAAUGGAAAUGAGACACGGGCCAGACUCCUACGGGAGGCAGCAGUGGGGAAUAUUGGACAAUGGGCGAAAGCCUGAUCCAGCCAUGCCGCGUGUGUGAAGAAGGUCUUCGGAUUGUAAAGCACUUUAAGUUGGGAGGAAGGGUUGUAGAUUAAUACUCUGCAAUUUUGACGUUACCGACAGAAUAAGCACCGGCUAACUCUGUGCCAGCCGCCGCAGUAA